AAGAACCUAACUUGUAAAUAUCUCAUGCUAAAACUGAAAUCACUUUAACACCCUUUCAUUGCCCCAUAUCUGAAGCGAAAGUUAUCCUCGGGUAAACCCUGGCCCUACCGUAUAAGUAAUCCAACUGGGAGCAUUCCAGACAUGAGAUUAGACCAGACUGACACAUAAUAUGAACCUUAAUAAAGCAUGUUAAUCGACUCCUUCAUACAAGUAAAAUAUCCGAAUAUGCAGAAGAAAGAUGAGCUCAUAUAUAUUUACUA
This 260-nucleotide unclassified non-coding RNA is filed under the name Hevea brasiliensis (rubber tree). The record is from RNAcentral. Lineage: Eukaryota; Viridiplantae; Streptophyta; Magnoliopsida; Malpighiales; Euphorbiaceae.